Molecule: ribosomal RNA, 380 nt
Filed under: uncultured bacterium
Lineage: Bacteria
Description: bacterial SSU rRNA
Rfam family: Bacterial small subunit ribosomal RNA
Source: RNAcentral
AACGAACGCUGGCGGCAUGCCUAACACAUGCAAGUCGAACGGGAUCCUAGCUUGCUAGGUGAGAGUGGCGGACGGGUGAGUAACACGUGGGAAUCUGCCUUUUGGUUCGGGAUAACCGCGGGAAACUGCGGCUAAUACCGAAUGCCCUCGAGAGAGGAAAGAUUUAUCGCCAGAAGAGGAGCCCGCGUCCGAUUAGGUAGUUGGUGGGGUAAAGCCUACCAAGCCGACGAUCGGUAGCUGGUCUGAGAGGAUGAUCAGCCACACUGGGACUGAGAUACGGCCCAGACUCCUACGGGAGGCAGCAGUGGGGAAUAUUAGGACAAUGGGGGCACCCUGAUCCAGCAAUGCCGCGUGAGUGAUGAAGGCCUUAGGGUUGUAAA